Eriocheir sinensis (Chinese mitten crab) is the source of this 4129-nucleotide long non-coding RNA. RefSeq lists it as uncharacterized. The record is from RefSeq and is a predicted model, not a curated record. Lineage: Eukaryota; Metazoa; Arthropoda; Malacostraca; Decapoda; Varunidae. The transcript has 4 exons.
UGUAAGUAUUAACUCUGCCGGAGGUGGCUAAGGUCUCCUAAAUUUUCCCCAUUAUCUGUUAUUUCUUGUCUGGACCUGCAUGGUAAUGCCUAACCCGUCAUCACUUGUAGGCGCACUAGUAUAUGCUUGAUGCGCCGCCAAAACUGUGUGUGUGAUGCCUUGGAAAGGUUACUAUUCCCGUGGGAGCAAUAUUGGAGGCGCGUAGUCAUUCUCCAUAUUUACCCUAAACUAACUAAUUCCCAUGUAACUGAGCGUUGGCAGCCAUAUCUCAGAGACCCUAAGGCACAUGUUGAUGGGACUUUGUGAGAAUGUGCGUCCAUAGUCUGCACAGGCCUGGCCUAGAUAUCCUCGUCACAUCACUCAUGACGGCCAAGAAAAUGUCUGAAAGGGGAGCGUCGGCAAAGAUAAUGCACUGUUAGUUUACACGCACUCUGUGAUAUUGUUGAAACUGUAAAGCGCAGAACGAUGGGAUUGUACGAGUGUGUGCGUCUCCAGUGUGUGCAGGUCUGGCGUAAGUAUCGUUGUCGCAUCACUUGUGGCGGCAGAGAAAAUGAUAAAUAGUUUGGCGUCGGCAAGAUUAGUUUAGCGAAUGUGUCAGAAAAAUUCAACAUGUUUUGCGAUACCGUUGAAACUGUAGGGUGCAGGGCAGUGAGUUUUUGUGAGUGUGUGUGUCUGUUGUGUGCGCUGGUCUGGCAUGAGUAUCCUUGUUGUGUGGCUUGUGACAGCCAAGAAAAUGAAAAAAAAGUUGUCUCGGCAACAUAGUUUACUGCGAGUCUGAACGCAUGUUUUGAUAUUCUUGAAACUAUAGGCUGCAGGUCGAUGGGUCUUUAAUGUGUAGUGUGUAUGUACCCAGUGCAGGUGUGGUAUAAAUAUCCUUGUCGUGUGACUUAUGAUGGCCAAGAAAAUGAAAAAAAGGUGUUUCUCGGCAAGAUAGUUUACCGAGAAUCUCAACGCAUGUUGUGAUAUCCUUGAAACUAUAGGGUGCAGGUCAAUGGGACUUUAAUGUGUAGUGUGUUUGUACCCAGCGCAGGUGUGGCAUAAAUAUCCUUGUCGUGUAACUUAUGACGGCCGAGGAAAUUAAAAAAAGGUGUUUCUCGGCAAGAUAGUUUACCGAGAAUCUCAACGAAUUUUGUGAUAUUCUUGAAACUAUAGGGUGCAGGUCAAUGGGACUUUAAUGUGUAGUGUGUUUGUACCCAGCACAGGUGUGGCAUAAAUAUCCUUGUCAUGUAACUUAUGACGGCCGAGAAAAUUAAAAAAAGGUGUUUCUCGGCAAGAUAGUUUACCGAGAAUCUCAACGCAUGUUGUGAUAUUUUUGAAACUAUAGGGUGCAGGUCAAUGGGACUUUAAUGUGUUGUGUGUUUGUACCCAGCGCAGGUGUGGCAUAAAUAUCCUUGUCGUGUGACAUAUGACGGCCGAGAAAAUUAAAAAAAGGUGUUUCUCGGCAAGAUAGUUUACCGAGAAUCUCAACGCAUGUUGUGAUAUUCUUGAAACUAUAGGGCGCAGGUCAAUAGGACUUUAAAGUGUAGUGUGUCUGUAUCCAGCGCAGGUGUGCUGUAAAUAUCCUAGUCAUGUGACUCAUGAUGGCUGAGAAAAUGGAAAAAAAGUUGUGUCGGCAAGAUAAUUUUAGCAAACGCCUCCAAAACAUUUAACGUGUUUUGCGAUAUCAUUGAAACUAUAGGGUGUGGGGCGAUGGGAUUUUAUGGGCAGGUGCGUCCACAGUGUGUGCUAGUCUGGCAUGAAUAUACUUGUCGUGUUGCUUAUAAUGGCCGAGGAAAAUGGAAAAAAUAUAAAAAGUGAACAAAUUUGGUGUGUGAGAGAGAGAGAGAGAAAGAGAGCAAUGUAUAAUCUAUUGAGUGUACAGUAUUUUGCAUUAUAAUCAGACAGCUAAUCGGUGGUUUAUGACAAAGUUCUGAAACAAUUGGAAAUUGUUGUACAGCAGUCUGUUAGACAAAGCACAAAUUAGUCGGACAGCUUACAGUCCUUCCGACACUGCCGCAGAAGAGUAGCGUCAAUACCACAAAUGUCACAACAACAAACACCAUUAAUUUGACAAUUGGAGAAAAUGGAACUUCACAGCAAAACAUGAAUCUGAAGCAUGGAACUUAUGCCGCCCCCCUCACGCCCUACAUCCCCCUCCCCCAUGGCAAGUGUGCGUUGUAAAGUAUCCACCCUCGGAACAGUGUGUGCACGGCUCCUCUUGUGGAACAAUGCCUCGGCGGCGGCGCACACCAGCACGUCGGAGGAGGACAAGCGGAGGAUAAUUAUUGAAAAAUCCGAAGCGAAUGAAGACCUAAUCUGCAGUUAUGUCAAACUGUUUGGUGGGAAUGGCAGAGUUUACUGGUGCGGCGGUAAAGUUCGGGACUCUGUGAUAUUAAGCCGGUGGUGGUGGUGGUGGUGGCUGCGGGGGUCAUGUUUCUUGAUGGCCACUCCCUCUAGGCAUGAAAAAUGAGAAAAAAUCAUCACUCACGCAAACCAUUUCAUAAUGUAUAUAUAUCAACGCAUUUGUGACCAGUUUAUGCAUCAUCUAUUUUGGGGGGUUUAUAUAUCAGGGCAAAAAUUUGGCCCGUCGCUGGUAUCGGGUUACUGGUGACCACUGGUUUGCCAUUCCUCAGACCUGUCUGUCUAUAUAAUGCAAAAUGCUGUAAUUCAUGUGUUGCUUCCUUAGUAAUGAUAAAUGGGAUAUUACUUAAAAAACUUUCUUCAUAUGAUUCUCUCUCUCUCUCUCUCUCUCUGCUACUACUUCUGCUAUUAAUAUAUUUUUUUAUUCAACAGAUUCAAAAAGAAGAACAACAUCAAGCACAACAUGUUAUAACCACCACCACCACCACCACCACCACCACUCAGCCCACCGUCAUAGAGAGUGGGCGGCCUCACCCUUUCCUGCCCUCGUAUUUCCUGGACAAUGUGGAGGAUGGCGGGGGCAGCAGUGAGGCGGUGGCCGGCGGAGGAGGAGAGAGACAGGCGGAGAAGAAUGUCAAGGUCCAUUUCAAUUCUUCCUUCAACGUUGUCAAGUACGGGGACGGCACUGACAUCAAGGACUUGUCAAGCCAGUCAGUGAACCCAGUCUGCAAGACGUCUUGGUCAAGAUGGGACACAACCUAACACGGAAACCCUUCAAGCUGGAGAACCACUACUGGGUUGGUCACAGCUAAAGGAGAGAGAGAGAGAGAGGGAGAGAGUACCUUCCAGCCUACUAUUCCUGCAGUAAGCAGUGCCUGGUGUUACCUGAAUUUCCUGUUGUCCCUCUGCCUCCACCUCCUCCUCCUCCUCUCUCCCUCCAGCUGCCAACCCUCACUCACUCACUCCGCCAGUUGAGUCUUCUGUACCCCCACUGUUGUUGUUUUCCCGGCCUGAGAAUACCCCGCCAGGACUCCUUGUAAUCACCGUCAUGGUUUGCAGGCGGGUGUGUGGUGACCCAGGGCGUUGAGGGAAGCCAGACGCUCUCCUGUAGGGCUUCAGGCAGAUACAACUCCCUCAUCACCUGCUUCACUCCAGCCCAGACCUUGCCACUCACACCCAACAGCUGCUUCAUCUUAAGGUGGGACUGGUUAGGUUACGAUAUGUUUAGGGUAUCUUAAAACACAGGAUAGGCGGGAACUUAGGGUAUGAAUCCAUAAAGAAUGACCUCACUUUGUUGUAUAGAAAGUCUCAUUAGUAAGGAAGCAUAUAUGAGUUUUCUGAGUCAAGACCUGUAGUAACUGUUUGGGGUUUUGUUAGGCUAUGUUGGGUUAAGUUUAGGGUAUCUUCAGACACAUGAUAGCCAGCACCUUAUGGUAUAAAUCAACAAAGAAUGACCUCACUUUGUUGUAGAGAAAGUCUCAUUAGCAAGGAAGCAUAUAUGAAUUUUCUGAGUGAAGGUCUAUAGUGUUUGGUUUUGUUUUGUUCGGUUAUGUUAGGUUAAGUUUAGGGUAUCUUCAAACACAGGAUAGCCAGCCCCUUAUAGUAUAAUUCAAUGAAGAAUGACCUCAUUUCGUUGUAUAGAAAGUCUCAUUAGUAAGGAAGCUUAUAUGAAUUCUCUGAGUCAAGAACUGUAGUAACUGUUUGGGGUUUUGUUAGGUUAAGUUAAGGGUAUAUCUUCAAACACAUGACAGCCAGCACCUUAUGGUAUAAAUUAACAAAGAAUGACCUC